Molecule: long non-coding RNA, 571 nt
Filed under: Carica papaya (papaya)
Lineage: Eukaryota; Viridiplantae; Streptophyta; Magnoliopsida; Brassicales; Caricaceae
Description: long non-coding RNA (CPAP_LNC014906)
Source: RNAcentral
UCUCUACGGUACAAGCCCUGUAGAUAACUUCCCCAAAUAGUGUUUCACCCCAACAGUAGACACAAAUAACAAUGAAUCAAGCUUAUCAGGUGAUACAUUAAGUUUGGAAGCAAAAACAUGUGAAACAAAUGAAUGCGAUGCACUAGUGUCAAAUAAAACAUGAGCAAUAUGGUCACAGAUAGUGUACAUACCUUGUAUCACGUUCGGGUCGGCGUCGGCAUCCUGCUAGGUAAGGUUGUAAACCCUGCCCUGAAAAGGAGGUCUUCUUUGGUUCUAGUUCCUCGGGCACUCUCUCGCAUAGUGCUAGGCACUGCCACAUAUGCACCAGGUGUUGUUGAGGUGGUAGCAUUGUCGGUCCCCGUGAUCCCUGCCACAGUGCUGGUAGAUCUUUCCACGUGCUGCCCCUGGAGCCUGAGGAGGGGCCUGGAUCACUUGUCUGGGCCUCUUAUUUGGUUAGACCGGCGCAGUGGGUGCUGGUCUACGGGGUGAAGCUGAGGGUCGGUGACUCCUUACUGACUGAGGACGGAUGUUGAAACUCCUCUCCACAAUCUGUGCCUUUGCUAGAACAGCU